RNAcentral lists this ribosomal RNA (559 nucleotides) under Salmonella enterica. RNAcentral's name for it is "partial 23S ribosomal RNA". It matches the Rfam family "Bacterial large subunit ribosomal RNA", at positions 711 to 1266 of the family's 2925-position model. RNAcentral also lists the same sequence under 1 other name. The record is from RNAcentral. Lineage: Bacteria; Pseudomonadati; Pseudomonadota; Gammaproteobacteria; Enterobacterales; Enterobacteriaceae.
AGACCCGAAACCCGGUGAUCUAGCCAUGGGCAGGUUGAAGGUUGGGUAACACUAACUGGAGGACCGAACCGACUAAUGUUGAAAAAUUAGCGGAUGACCUGUGGCUGGGGGUGAAAGGCCAAUCAAACCGGGAGAUAGCUGGUUCUCCCCGAAAGCUAUUUAGGUAGCGCCUCGUGAAUUCAUCUCCGGGGGUAGAGCACUGUUUCGGCUAGGGGGCCAUCCCGGCUUACCAACCCGAUGCAAACUGCGAAUACCGGAGAAUGUUAUCACGGGAGACACACGGCGGGUGCUAACGUCCGUCGUGAAGAGGGAAACAACCCAGACCGCCAGCUAAGGUCCCAAAGUCAUGGUUAAGUGGGAAACGAUGUGGGAAGGCCCAGACAGCCAGGAUGUUGGCUUAGAAGCAGCCAUCAUUUAAAGAAAGCGUAAUAGCUCACUGGUCGAGUCGGCCUGCGCGGAAGAUGUAACGGGGCUAAACCAUGCACCGAAGCUGCGGCAGCGACGCUUAUGCGUUGUUGGGUAGGGGAGCGUUCUGUAAGCCUGUGAAGGUGGCCUGUGA